GCAGGGCGCGGUGGCCCAAGCCUGUAAUCCCAGCACUUUGGGAGGCCGAGACGGGCGGAUCAUGAGGUCAGGAGAUCGAGACCAUCCUGGCUAACACGGUGAAACCCCGUCUCUACUAAAAAGUACAAAAAACUAGCCGGGCGAGGUGGCGGGCGCCUGUAGUCCCAGCUACUCCGGAGGCUGAGGCAGGAGAAUGGCCCCAGCCUCCGGAGUAGCUGGGACUACAGGCGCCCGCCACCUCGCCCGGCUAGUUUUUUGUACUUUUUAGUAGAGACGGGGUUUCACCAUGUUAGCCAGGAUGGUCUCGAUCUCCUGACCUCGUGAUCCGCCCGUCUCGG
RNAcentral lists this signal recognition particle RNA (338 nucleotides) under Chlorocebus sabaeus (green monkey). Its description in RNAcentral is "Metazoan signal recognition particle RNA". It matches the Rfam family "Metazoan signal recognition particle RNA". From Rfam's summary of the family: The signal recognition particle (SRP) is a universally conserved ribonucleoprotein. It is involved in the co-translational targeting of proteins to membranes. The record is from Rfam by way of RNAcentral. Lineage: Eukaryota; Metazoa; Chordata; Mammalia; Primates; Cercopithecidae.